Molecule: ribosomal RNA, 301 nt
Filed under: uncultured bacterium
Lineage: Bacteria
Description: partial 16S ribosomal RNA
Rfam family: Bacterial small subunit ribosomal RNA
Source: RNAcentral
CAGCCGCCGCGGGAAUACAGAGGGUGCAAGCGUUAAUCGGAAUUACUGGGCGUAAAGCGCGCGUAGGUGGUUUGUUAAGUUGGAUGUGAAAUCCCCGGGCUCAACCUGGGAACUGCAUCCAAAACUGGCAAGAUAGAGUAUGGUAGAGGGUGGUGGAAUUUCCUGUGUAGCGGUGAAAUGCGUAGAUAUAGGAAGGAACACCAGUGGCGAAGGCGACCACCUGGACUGAUACUGACACUGAGGUGCGAAAGCGUGGGGAGCAAACAGGAUUAGAUACCCCCGUAGUCCCUGUCUCUUAUAC